AUACGUAGGUGACAAGCGUUAUCCGGAUUUACUGGGCGUAAAGGGCGUGUAGGCGGUCUUGCAAGUCAGAAGUGAAAUUCCUGAGCUCAACUCGGGCGCUGCUUCUGAAACUGCAGGACUUGAGUGCUGGAGGGGAUAGCGGAAUUCCUAGUGGAGCGGUGAAAUGCAUAGAUAUCACGAAGAACUCCGAUCGCGAAGGCAGCCUUCCGGCCCGUCAACGACGCUCAUGCUCGAAGGUGCGGGUAUCAAACAGGAUUAGAUACCCUGGUAGUCCGCACAGUGAACGAUGGACACCCGCGGUUUGGCCUGUAUGGCUGAGCCGCCAAGCGAAAGCGUUAAGUGUCCCACCUGGGGAGUACGCCGGCAACGGUGAAACUCAAAGGAAUUGACGGGG
This 394-nucleotide ribosomal RNA is filed under the name uncultured bacterium. Its description in RNAcentral is "partial 16S ribosomal RNA". It matches the Rfam family "Bacterial small subunit ribosomal RNA", at positions 523 to 918 of the family's 1533-position model. The record is from RNAcentral.